Molecule: long non-coding RNA, 563 nt
Filed under: Pan troglodytes (chimpanzee)
Lineage: Eukaryota; Metazoa; Chordata; Mammalia; Primates; Hominidae
Description: long non-coding RNA NONPTRT015467
Source: RNAcentral
GCUGGCCAGGCCUCCUUGUGCCUCUCCGAGAGGCCACCUGGAGAGAAGAGGCCAGGCUGGGCUCAGGCAACAGCGGGAGCCCACUGGACUCCUUCAGUGUCCAAUCACCCUUCCCCAGUCCCCAAGGCCACCUCUCUGCCUUGGUUUCCUCCUCGUUCCUGCACCCUGCCCUGCCAAUCUCCAUCUACCUCUGCUCACAGCUCCCUCUGCCUGGAGAACUCUUCCACAGAUGGCUCCAGGUCUCGGUUCCAGUGCUGCCUCCUCCAGAAGCCCUCCCUGACCACCUGCCCCCCUCUGCUGUUUUCUCCCUCCCUGUAACUGUCUGGAGAUUCUGCUGGCUGACUCGUCUGCCUCGUCACCCAUGGGGGCCCCCAGAGGGAGCUGCACCUCAUCCUCCCCGACUUACCACGAGCUGGGCGCUCCUCUGCAGUUCCAAGGCCUGGGCCGCCUGCUGCUGCAGUUUUUGGGCAGGAGCUCAUUGCAACAAGGACCCCAAGGCUUUACAACACUGGCAACAGAUGUUCUCUCUGAACCCCGGUCCGCCUCCCCAGCCCCCAGAUCUG